GACGAACGCUGGCGGCGCGCCUAACACAUGCAAGUCGAACGGGGUCUUUUAGGAGCUUGCUUUUGGAAGACCUAGUGGCGGACGGGUGAGUAACACGUGAGCAACCUGCCUCGAAGAGGGGGAUAACGUCUGGAAACGGACGCUAAUACCGCAUAACAUAUUCUGGUGGCAUCGCCGGGAUAUCAAAGGAGUAAUCCGCUUUGAGAUGGGCUCGCGCCCGAUUAGGUAGUUGGUGGGGUAAAGGCCUACCAAGCCGACGAUCGGUAGCCGGACUGAGAGGUUGAACGGCCAGAUUGGGACUGGGACACGGCCCAGACUCCUACGGGAGGCAGCAGUCGGGAAUAUUGCGCAAUGGAGGGAACUCUGACGCAGUGAUGCCGCGUAUGGGAAGAAGGUUUUCGGAUUGUAAACCAUUUUAGACAGGGAAGAAGAAAGUGACAGUACCUGUAGAAUAAGCUCCGGCUAACUACGUGCCAGCAGCCGCGGUAACAC
RNAcentral lists this ribosomal RNA (492 nucleotides) under uncultured bacterium. RNAcentral's name for it is "bacterial SSU rRNA". It matches the Rfam family "Bacterial small subunit ribosomal RNA", at positions 28 to 526 of the family's 1533-position model. The record is from RNAcentral.